UGGGGAAUAUUGCACAAUGGGCCCAAGCCUGAUGCAGCCAUGCCGCGUGUACGAAGAAGGCCUUCGGGUCGUAAAGUACUUUCAGCGGGGAGGAAGGGAGUAAAGUUAAUACCUUUGCUCAUUGACGUUACCCGCAGAAGAAGCACCGGCUAACUCCGUGCCAGCAGCCGCGGUAAUACGGAGGGUGCAAGUGUUAAUCGGAAUUACUGGGCGUAAGGCGCACGCAGGCGGUUUGUUAAGUCAGAUGUGAAAUCCCCGGGCUCAACCUGGGAACUGCAUCUGAUACUGGCAAGCUUGAGUCUCGUAGAGGGGGGUAGAAUUCCAGGUGUAGCGGUGAAAUGCGUAGAGAUCUGGAGGAAUACCGGUGGCGAAGGCGGCCCCCUGGACGAAGACUGACGCUCAGGUGCGAAAGCGUGGGGAGCAAACAGGAUUAGAUACCCUGGUAGUCCACGCCGUANCGAUGUCGACUUGGAGGUUGUGCCCUUGAGGCGUGGCUUCCGGAGCUAACGCGUUAAGUCGACCGCCUGGGGAGUACGGCCGCAAGGUU
Molecule: ribosomal RNA, 547 nt
Filed under: uncultured bacterium
Lineage: Bacteria
Description: bacterial SSU rRNA
Rfam family: Bacterial small subunit ribosomal RNA
Source: RNAcentral